Molecule: ribosomal RNA, 507 nt
Filed under: uncultured bacterium
Lineage: Bacteria
Description: bacterial SSU rRNA
Rfam family: Bacterial small subunit ribosomal RNA
Source: RNAcentral
AUCAUGGCUCAGGAUGAACGCUGGCGGCGUGCCUAACACAUGCAAGUCGAACGAAGCACUGCGGAUGGAGAUUCGUCAAAAUCUGCUUUGACUUAGUGGCGGACGGGUGAGUAAUGUGUGAGCAACCUGCCUUUCAGAGGGGGACAACAGUUGGAAACGACUGCUAAUACCGCAUAAUGUAUUGGGAGGGCAUCCUUUUGAUACCAAAGGAGCAAUCCGCUGAAAGAUGGGCUCACAUCUGAUUAGCUAGUUGGUGGGGUAACGGCCUACCAAGGCUGCGAUCAGUAGCCGGACUGAGAGGUUGAACGGCCACAUUGGGACUGAGAUACGGCCCAGACUCCUACGGGAGGCAGCAGUGGGGAAUAUUGGGCAAUGGGCGAAAGCCUGAACCCCAGCAACGCCGCGUGAAGGAAGAAGGUCUUCGGAUUGUAAACUUCUUUUAUGAGGGACGAAGGACGUGACGGUACCUCAUGAAUAAGCCACGGCUAACUACGUGCCAGCCGCUGC